GACGAACGCUGGCGGCGUGCUUAACACAUGCAAGUCGAACGGAAAGGCCCUGCUUUUGUGGGGUGCUCGAGUGGCGAACGGGUGAGUAACACGUGAGUAACCUGCCCUUGACUUUGGGAUAACUUCAGGAAACUGGGGCUAAUACCGGAUAGGAGCUCCUGCUGCAUGGUGGGGGUUGGAAAGUUUCGGCGGUUGGGGAUGGACUCGCGGCUUAUCAGCUUGUUGGUGGGGUAGUGGCUUACCAAGGCUUUGACGGGUAGCCGGCCUGAGAGGGUGACCGGCCACAUUGGGACUGAGAUACGGCCGAGACUCAUACGGGAGGCAGCAGUGGGGAAUAUUGCACAAUGGGCGGAAGCCUGAUGCAGCAACGCCGCGUGCGGGAUGACGGCCUUCGGGUUGUAAACCGCUUUCGCCUGUGACGAAGCGUGAGUGACGGUAAUGGGUAAAGAAGCACCGGCUAACUACGUG
This 468-nucleotide ribosomal RNA is filed under the name uncultured bacterium. RNAcentral describes it as "partial 16S ribosomal RNA". It matches the Rfam family "Bacterial small subunit ribosomal RNA", at positions 28 to 507 of the family's 1533-position model. The record is from RNAcentral.